This 75-nucleotide transfer RNA is filed under the name Sulfitobacter noctilucicola. RNAcentral's name for it is "tRNA-Met". It matches the Rfam family "tRNA". Rfam says of the family: Transfer RNA (tRNA) molecules are approximately 80 nucleotides in length. Their secondary structure includes four short double-helical elements and three loops (D, anti-codon, and T loops). Lineage: Bacteria; Pseudomonadati; Pseudomonadota; Alphaproteobacteria; Rhodobacterales; Roseobacteraceae. RNAcentral also lists the same sequence under 3 other names. The record is from RNAcentral.
CGGGAUGGAGCAGCCCGGUAGCUCGUCAGGCUCAUAACCUGAAGGUCGUAGGUUCAAAUCCUACUCCCGCAACCA